AUCCAGCUGAAGAGUGUCGAAUAGGACGAAACGUCGCGUCCUGGAU
Non-coding RNA from Schistosoma mansoni, 46 nucleotides. The record is from Rfam. NCBI's taxonomy places the organism in Eukaryota, Metazoa, Platyhelminthes, Trematoda, Strigeidida, Schistosomatidae.